This 493-nucleotide ribosomal RNA is filed under the name uncultured microorganism. Its description in RNAcentral is "bacterial SSU rRNA". It matches the Rfam family "Bacterial small subunit ribosomal RNA", at positions 9 to 523 of the family's 1533-position model. The record is from RNAcentral.
GAGUUUGAUCCUGGCUCAGAACGAACGCUGGCGGCGUGGAUAAGACAUGCAAGUCGAACGGGAGAAUUGCUAGCUUGCUAAUAAUUCUCUAGCGGCGCACGGGUGAGUAACACGUGAGUAACCUGCCCCCGAGAGCGGGAUAGCCCUGGGAAACUGGGAUUAAUACCGCAUAGUAUCGAAAGAUUAAAGCAGCAAUGCGCUUGGGGAUGGGCUCGCGGCCUAUUAGUUAGUUGGUGAGGUAACGGCUCACCAAGGCGAUGACGGGUAGCCGGUCUGAGAGGAUGUCCGGCCACACUGGAACUGAGACACGGUCCAGACACCUACGGGUGGCAGCAGUCGAGAAUCAUUCACAAUGGGGGAAACCCUGAUGGUGCGACGCCGCGUGGGGGAAUGAAGGUCUUCGGAUUGUAAACCCCUGUCAUGUGGGAGCAAAAUUAAAAAGAUAGUACCACAAGAGGAAGAGACGGCUAACUCUGUGGCAGCCGCGCCGUAA